UCGCCGGAAGACCAAGGGUUCCUGUCCAACGUUAAUCGGGGCAGGGUGAGUCGACCCCUAAGGCGAGGCCGAAAGGCGUAGUCGAUGGGAAACAGGUUAAUAUUCCUGUACUUGGUGUUACUGCGAAGGGGGGACGGAGAAGGCUAUGUUGGCCGGGCGACGGUUGUCCCGGUUUAAGCGUGUAGGCUGGUUUUCCAGGCAAAUCCGGAAAACUAAGGCUGAGGCGUGAUGACGAGGCACUACGGUGCUGAAGCAACAAAUGCCCUGCUUCCAGGAAAAGCCUCUAAGCAUCAGGUAACAUCAAAUCGUACCCCAAACCGACACAGGUGGUCAGGUAGAGAAUACCAAGGCGCUUGAGAGAACUCGGGUGAAGGAACUAGGCAAAAUGGUGCCGUAACUUCGGGAGAAGGCACGCUGAUAUGUAGGUGAAGUCCCUCGCGGAUGGAGCUGAAAUCAGUCGAAGAUACCAGCUGGCUGCAACUGUUUAUUAAAAACACAGCACUGUGCAAACACGAAAGUGGACGUAUACGGUGUGACGCCUGCCCGGUGCCGGAAGGUUAAUUGAUGGGGUCAGCGCAAGCGAAGCUCUUGAUCGAAGCCCCGGUAAACGGCGGCCGUAACUAUAACGGUCCUAAGGUAGCGAAAUUCCUUGUCGGGUAAGUUCCGACCUGCACGAAUGGCGUAAUGAUGGCCAGGCUGUCUCCACCCGAGACUCAGUGAAAUUGAACUCGCUGUGAAGAUGCAGUGUACCCGCGGCAAGACGGAAAGACCCCGUGAACCUUUACUAUAGCUUGACACUGAACAUUGAGCCUUGAUGUGUAGGAUAGGUGGGAGGCUUUGAAGUGUGGACGCCAGUCUGCAUGGAGCCGACCUUGAAAUACCACCCUUUAAUGUUUGAUGUUCUAACGUUGACCCGUAAUCCGGGUUGCGGACAGUGUCUGGUGGGUAGUUUGACUGGGGCGGUCUCCUCCUAAAGAGUAACGGAGGAGCACGAAGGUUGGCUAAUCCUGGUCGGACAUCAGGAGGUUAGUGCAAUGGCAUAAGCCAGCUUGACUGCGAGCGUGACGGCGCGAGCAGGUGCGAAAGCAGGUCAUAGUGAUCCGGUGGUUCUGAAUGGAAGGGCCAUCGCUCAACGGAUAAAAGGUACUCCGGGGAUAACAGGCUGAUACCGCCCAAGAGUUCAUAUCGACGGCGGUGUUUGGCACCUCGAUGUCGGCUCAUCACAUCCUGGGGCUGAAGUAGGUCCCAAGGGUAUGGCUGUUCGCCAUUUAAAGUGGUACGCGAGCUGGGUUUAGAACGUCGUGAGACAGUUCGGUCCCUAUCUGCCGUGGGCGCUGGAGAACUGAGGGGGGCUGCUCCUAGUACGAGAGGACCGGAGUGGACGCAUCACUGGUGUUCGGGUUGUCAUGCCAAUGGCACUGCCCGGUAGCUAAAUGCGGAAGAGAUAAGUGCUGAAAGCAUCUAAGCACGAAACUUGCCCCGAGAUGAGUUCUCCCUGACUCCUUGAGAGUCCUGAAGGAACGUUGAAG
This 1529-nucleotide ribosomal RNA is filed under the name Escherichia coli. Its description in RNAcentral is "partial 23S ribosomal RNA". It matches the Rfam family "Bacterial large subunit ribosomal RNA", at positions 1334 to 2843 of the family's 2925-position model. The record is from RNAcentral. Lineage: Bacteria; Pseudomonadati; Pseudomonadota; Gammaproteobacteria; Enterobacterales; Enterobacteriaceae.